GAGAGACUGCGCUCCCUCACCUUUGAUGGAGACGGACUCCUGCUGAGCUCCUUCGCCUUAACUGGUGGGCUCCUACUGCCAUCAGGCGAGAUGCUUCGCUCAAUGGCCUUAGAUGGGGGGCUUCUCUUUGUUGCCUUUGGGCUCCUGCUGUAGCGAGGGCUCCGGCCAUCUGGAGAAAGGCUGCGCUUCCUCCCCCUUGAUGGAGGCGGGCUCCUCUUUGCUUUCGGGCUCCUGCUGUAUUUAGGGCUCCUUGACCUCCUCCCCUCACGUUCUACGCUGCGACCAUUCCUCCGAGGUGCCGGGGAUCUUGAUCCACUAUAAGACGGGCUUCGGCUGUAACUACGGUUCCUUCUACCACGGCGAGGGGAAGGUGAUGGAGAAUGACUGUGUCCAGAUCUGAGACUCUUGGGACUAUUCU
This 418-nucleotide unclassified non-coding RNA is filed under the name Hevea brasiliensis (rubber tree). The record is from RNAcentral. Lineage: Eukaryota; Viridiplantae; Streptophyta; Magnoliopsida; Malpighiales; Euphorbiaceae.